This 484-nucleotide ribosomal RNA is filed under the name uncultured bacterium. RNAcentral describes it as "partial 16S ribosomal RNA". It matches the Rfam family "Bacterial small subunit ribosomal RNA", at positions 30 to 507 of the family's 1533-position model. The record is from RNAcentral.
AUUGAACGCUGGCGGCAGGCCUAACACAUGCAAGUCGAGCGGAUGAAGGGAGCUUGCUCCUGGAUUCAGCGGCGGACGGGUGAGUAAUGCCUAGGAAUCUGCCUGGUAGUGGGGGAUAACGUCCGGAAACGGGCGCUAAUACCGCAUACGUCCUGAGGGAGAAAGGGGGGGAUCUUCGGACCCCACGCUAUCGGAUAAGCCUAGGUCGGAUUAGCUAGUUGGUGGGGUAAAGGCCUACCAAGGCGACGAUCCGUAACUGGUCUGAGAGGAUGAUCAGUCACACUGGAACUGAGACACGGUCCAGACUCCUACGGGAGGCAGCAGUGGGGAAUAUUGGACAAUGGGCGAAAGCCUGAUCCAGCCAUGCCGCGUGUGUGAAGAAGGUCUUCGGAUUGUAAAGCACUUUAAGUUGGGAGGAAGGGCAGUAAGUUAAUACCUUGCUGUUUUGACGUUACCAACAGAAUAAGCACCGGCUAACUUCGUG